UUUUCUUUUUGGCUUUUAAAAUAACCUUUAUUUUUUAAAAGUUAAGAUGUGCAUUAUAGGAAACUGAAAAACGCAAGAAGCAAAGAACAAAGUCAUUCACAAUCACAGGCAGUUUAUAGUUUGACAUGCUCUUCUAGGUCCUGUGCGUGUGUAGGCACAACAUCCAAUUUUAUGGCACUGAGAUUGUACAGUAUGUAUCAUGAUUUUUCACACAUCAUGAAUAUUUACCAAUUCAAAAUCCUAAAGCUAUAUGAGUAUUCUGAUAACCAAGAAUACACUACACCAACUCAAACUGUUAAAAGAAAAUGUAAUCCUGCCUUUCUUGGGACAAAAAUUUCAUGAGAUCAUGUUUUAAAUGGAGAAAGAAAAAGGAGAAAGCCAGAAACUUGAAUUCGCUCAAUUACUCAGGAAACUUUAACCAAAAAGCUCAGACAAAUUAAGGCUGACCUUAAUUGAUCUGUUUAGAUGUUAACCUUUAGAAAAAAUCUGUAUACAUACAAAGAGUAUAUACAUUUGUGGCUUUGAACAAACAUUUAUGAUUCACGGAAGGUGAUGACUGCUUUGGCAAAAUGGCAUGGUUCAGUUUGAAGUCCAGCAGCUCUAUUCAUCCGUUGUGUGACCUUGGCACUUGGUCCCAGGGUCCCUUCCACCCUUUCUGGGUGAGUGCACAGAGGCGGACCAAAGUGCCAGUUCCAGACCCCAUUUCUUGGCUGCUUGGCUCUUGAGGCACCCGACUUUCUGACUUGUCGGGGGCAUCCAGGUUUGACGGCUUGGUUGGCCCUCAAGGAUGCCUCUUGGCUGACUGGGUUCUGUUUUCUUUAGUUCUCAACUUUCCUUGGUUUCUUAAUUUCAAUGUUAUGUCAUCCCUUGGGAUCCUGUUGGCCAGGCCCAUCCCUGUAGGAGGGUUGACCUCAGCUUUCUUAUUUUUCUCCCUUUCUUCCUUUCCUCCUUCACAUGUAAGAUGAGAUGGUUGGACUGGACCAACUCUAGAAUCCCUUCCCGCUCUGACUGCUCCAUGGUCUGAUGAAGGUGGCCACUGAGACAUUUGGGCAGGGGCCCCUCUCGAAAACCAUGGAGACAUUUCAGCAGAGGCCUCAAAGGCAGAACAAAAUAGUGCAAGGAGCCGCACAUCCGCACAGUGCUGAGACCCUGCCCAGGACAAGCUUGAUCCUGGCACCCAAGUGACAACCUGCAUUGAAAAGGCGGAACUUGGCUCUCCUGCCCUGCCAGCUGUAAGAGCUUGAAAGCAAAGCUAUGGGGGGAAUGUCUUUCAUUUCCCCCUGGAAGCUGGGAGGACGUUCAGCUUAGCAUUGCCAACUGUGUAAUGUGGACUUGCCUCUAAAAGAAGCCUUUUUCCUUGGAUGUCUUUCAGGCCGCAGUAUUCCCUUUGGCACCCCCACCCACCUGGAACAAAGCCUGAUGUAAAGUCUGGGUGCGACUCAGACCGGCCUGGGAAAGAAUUUAUUUAAUAAAUGGUGGAAAGUGGCUUC
This 1490-nucleotide long non-coding RNA is filed under the name Homo sapiens (human). RNAcentral describes it as "HSALNT0305435". Lineage: Eukaryota; Metazoa; Chordata; Mammalia; Primates; Hominidae. The record is from RNAcentral.